This 465-nucleotide ribosomal RNA is filed under the name Vreelandella stevensii. RNAcentral describes it as "partial 16S ribosomal RNA". It matches the Rfam family "Bacterial small subunit ribosomal RNA", at positions 338 to 795 of the family's 1533-position model. Lineage: Bacteria; Pseudomonadati; Pseudomonadota; Gammaproteobacteria; Oceanospirillales; Halomonadaceae. The record is from RNAcentral.
CCUACGGGAGGCUGCAGUGGGGAAUAUUGGACAAUGGGCGAAAGCCUGAUCCAGCCAUGCCGCGUGUGUGAAGAAGGCCUUCGGGUUGUAAAGCACUUUCAGUGGGGAAGAAAGCCUUGGGGCUAAUACCCUCGAGGAAGGACAUCACCCACAGAAGAAGCACCGGCUAACUCCGUGCCAGCAGCCGCGGUAAUACGGAGGGUGCGAGCGUUAAUCGGAAUUACUGGGCGUAAAGCGCGCGUAGGCGGUCUGAUAAGCCGGUUGUGAAAGCCCCGGGCUCAACCUGGGAACGGCAUCCGGAACUGUCAAGCUAGAGUGCAGGAGAGGAAGGUAGAAUUCCCGGUGUAGCGGUGACAUGCGUAGAGAUCGGGAGGAAUACCAGUGGCGAAGGCGGUCUUCUGGACUGACACUGACGCUGAGGUGCGAAAGCGUGGGUAGCAAACAGGAUUAGAUACCCGGGUAGUC